Molecule: ribosomal RNA, 2905 nt
Filed under: Enterobacter cloacae
Lineage: Bacteria; Pseudomonadati; Pseudomonadota; Gammaproteobacteria; Enterobacterales; Enterobacteriaceae
Description: bacterial LSU rRNA
Rfam family: Bacterial large subunit ribosomal RNA
Source: RNAcentral
UUAAGCGACUAAGCGUACACGGUGGAUGCCCUGGCAGUCAGAGGCGAUGAAGGACGUGCUAAUCUGCGAAAAGCGCCGGCGAGGUGAUAUGAACCUUUGACCCGGCGAUGUCCGAAUGGGGAAACCCAGUGUGUUCCGACACACUAUCGUUAACUGAAUACAUAGGUUAACGAGGCGAACCGGGGGAACUGAAACAUCUAAGUACCCCGAGGAAAAGAAAUCAACCGAGAUUCCCCCAGUAGCGGCGAGCGAACGGGGAGCAGCCCAGAGUCUGAAUCAGCUUGUGUGUUAGUGGAAGCGUCUGGAAAGUCGCACGGUACAGGGUGACAGUCCCGUACACGAAAGCACACAGGUUGUGAACUCGAAGAGUAGGGCGGGACACGUGGUAUCCUGUCUGAAUAUGGGGGGACCAUCCUCCAAGGCUAAAUACUCCUGACUGACCGAUAGUGAACCAGUACCGUGAGGGAAAGGCGAAAAGAACCCCGGCGAGGGGAGUGAAAAAGAACCUGAAACCGUGUACGUACAAGCAGUGGGAGCCUCUUUUAUGGGGUGACUGCGUACCUUUUGUAUAAUGGGUCAGCGACUUAUAUUCUGUAGCAAGGUUAACCGUAUAGGGGAGCCGAAGGGAAACCGAGUCUUAACUGGGCGUUAAGUUGCAGGGUAUAGACCCGAAACCCGGUGAUCUAGCCAUGGGCAGGUUGAAGGUUGGGUAACACUAACUGGAGGACCGAACCGACUAAUGUUGAAAAAUUAGCGGAUGACUUGUGGCUGGGGGUGAAAGGCCAAUCAAACCGGGAGAUAGCUGGUUCUCCCCGAAAGCUAUUUAGGUAGCGCCUCGUGAACUCAUCUUCGGGGGUAGAGCACUGUUUCGGCUAGGGGGCCAUCCCGGCUUACCAACCCGAUGCAAACUACGAAUACCGAAGAAUGUUAUCACGGGAGACACACGGCGGGUGCUAACGUCCGUCGUGAAGAGGGAAACAACCCAGACCGCCAGCUAAGGUCCCAAAGUCAUGGUUAAGUGGGAAACGAUGUGGGAAGGCACAGACAGCCAGGAUGUUGGCUUAGAAGCAGCCAUCAUUUAAAGAAAGCGUAAUAGCUCACUGGUCGAGUCGGCCUGCGCGGAAGAUGUAACGGGGCUAAACCAUGCACCGAAGCUGCGGCAGCGACGCUUAUGCGUUGUUGGGUAGGGGAGCGUUCUGUAAGCCGUUGAAGGUGUCCUGUGAGGGGUGCUGGAGGUAUCAGAAGUGCGAAUGCUGACAUAAGUAACGAUAAAGCGGGUGAAAAGCCCGCUCGCCGGAAGACCAAGGGUUCCUGUCCAACGUUAAUCGGGGCAGGGUGAGUCGACCCCUAAGGCGAGGCCGAAAGGCGUAGUCGAUGGGAAACAGGUUAAUAUUCCUGUACUUGGUGUUACUGCGAAGGGGGGACGGAGAAGGCUAUGUUAGCCGGGCGACGGUUGUCCCGGUUUAAGCAUGUAGGCGGAACGAUUAGGUAAAUCCGGUCGUUUAUUAACGCUGAGGUGUGAUGACGAGGCACUACGGUGCUGAAGUAACAAAUGCCCUGCUUCCAGGAAAAGCCUCUAAGCAUCAGGUAACAUCAAAUCGUACCCCAAACCGACACAGGUGGUCAGGUAGAGAAUACCAAGGCGCUUGAGAGAACUCGGGUGAAGGAACUAGGCAAAAUGGUGCCGUAACUUCGGGAGAAGGCACGCUGAUAUGUAGGUGAAGUCCCUGCGGAUGGAGCUGAAAUCAGUCGAAGAUACCAGCUGGCUGCAACUGUUUAUUAAAAACACAGCACUGUGCAAACACGAAAGUGGACGUAUACGGUGUGACGCCUGCCCGGUGCCGGAAGGUUAAUUGAUGGGGUUAGCGGUAACGCGAAGCUCUUGAUCGAAGCCCCGGUAAACGGCGGCCGUAACUAUAACGGUCCUAAGGUAGCGAAAUUCCUUGUCGGGUAAGUUCCGACCUGCACGAAUGGCGUAAUGAUGGCCAGGCUGUCUCCACCCGAGACUCAGUGAAAUUGAACUCGCUGUGAAGAUGCAGUGUACCCGCGGCAAGACGGAAAGACCCCGUGAACCUUUACUAUAGCUUGACACUGAACACUGGUCCUUGAUGUGUAGGAUAGGUGGGAGGCUUUGAAGCGUGGACGCCAGUCUGCGUGGAGCCAACCUUGAAAUACCACCCUUUAAUGGCUGGUGUUCUAACGUAGACCCGUAAUCCGGGUUGCGGACAGUGUCUGGUGGGUAGUUUGACUGGGGCGGUCUCCUCCCAAAGAGUAACGGAGGAGCACGAAGGUUAGCUAAUCCUGGUCGGACAUCAGGAGGUUAGUGCAAUGGCAUAAGCUAGCUUGACUGCGAGAGUGACGGCUCGAGCAGGUGCGAAAGCAGGUCAUAGUGAUCCGGUGGUUCUGAAUGGAAGGGCCAUCGCUCAACGGAUAAAAGGUACUCCGGGGAUAACAGGCUGAUACCGCCCAAGAGUUCAUAUCGACGGCGGUGUUUGGCACCUCGAUGUCGGCUCAUCACAUCCUGGGGCUGAAGUAGGUCCCAAGGGUAUGGCUGUUCGCCAUUUAAAGUGGUACGCGAGCUGGGUUUAGAACGUCGUGAGACAGUUCGGUCCCUAUCUGCCGUGGGCGCUGGAGAAUUGAGGGGGGCUGCUCCUAGUACGAGAGGACCGGAGUGGACGCAUCACUGGUGUUCGGGUUGUCAUGCCAAUGGCACUGCCCGGUAGCUAAAUGCGGAAGAGAUAAGUGCUGAAAGCAUCUAAGCACGAAACUUGCCCCGAGAUGAGUUCUCCCUGAGACUUUAAGUCUCCUGAAGGAACGUUGAAGACUACGACGUUGAUAGGUCGGGUGUGUAAGCGCAGCGAUGCGUUGAGCUAACCGAUACUAAUGAACCGUGAGGCUUAACCUU